Oncorhynchus tshawytscha (Chinook salmon) is the source of this 2297-nucleotide long non-coding RNA. NCBI's taxonomy places the organism in Eukaryota, Metazoa, Chordata, Actinopteri, Salmoniformes, Salmonidae. The record is from Ensembl.
AAUAGGCCUGUCUUAGCAGGGAAUCCUGACGGAAUAGGCCUGUCUUAGCAGGGAAUCCUGAUGGAAUAGGCCUGCCUUAGCAGGGAAUCCUGAUGGAAUAGGCCUGUCUUAGCAGGGAAUCCUGAUGGAAUAGGCCUGUCUUAGCAGGGAAUCCUGAAUUCUCCAACUGGGGUUUUCUGUAAAACUUUGGGAAAGUUACGUGAAUUUUGCAACCGUAAUCCAUCGACAGAGUUUUUUAUAAUUGAUUGGUUGGUUGAUUGAUUGGUUGAUCAAUCGAUUGUUUGAUUGAUUGAUCGAUUGAUUGGUUGAUUGGUUGGUUGAUUGAUUGAUUGGUUGGUUGAUUGAUCGAUUGGUUGGUUGGUUGAUUGAUCGAAUGGUUGAUUGAUCGAUUGGUUGGUUGAUUGAUCGAUUGGUUGGUUGAUUGAUCGAUUGUUUGGUUGGUUGAUUGAUCGAUUGGUUGGUUGGUUGAUUGAUCGAUUGGUUGGUUGGUUGAUUCAUCGAUUGGUUGGUUGAUUGAUCGAUUGGUUGGUUGGUUGAUUGAUUGAUCGAUUGGUUGAUUCAUCGAUUGGUUGAUUGAUUGAUCGAUUGGUUGGUUGGUUGAUUGAUUGAUUGAUUGGUUGAUUGAUCGAUUGGUUGGUUGAUUCAUCGAUUGGUUGAUUGAUUGAUCGAUUGGUUGGUUGGUUGAUUGAUUGAUCGAUUGGUUGAUUGAUCGAUUGGUUGAUUGAUUGAUUGAUUGGUUGAUUGAUCGAUUGGUUGGUUGAUUGAUUGAUUGGUUGGUUGAUCGAUUGGUUGAUUGAUUGAUUGGUUGAUCGAUUGGUUGAUUGAUUGGUUGAUUAAUCAGAAGAUUGAUUGACUAGUUGUUGCUUAACCUCAAUAGGGACUGCAUCUCAAAUGGUACCCUAUCUAGUGCACUACUUUAGACCAGAGCCCUAUUCCCUAUAUAGUGCCCUACUUUAGACUAGAGCCCUAUUCCCUAUAUAGUGCACUACUUUGGACUAGAGCCCUAUUCCCUAUAUAGUGCACUACUUUAGACCAGAGCCCUAUUCCCUAUAUAGUGCACUACUUUAGACCAGAGCCCUAUUCCCUAUAUAGUGCACUACUUUAGACCAGAGCCCUAUUCCCUAUAUAGUGCACUACUUUAGACCAGAGCCCUAUUCCCUAUAUAGUGCACUACUUUAGACCAGAGCCCUAUUCCCUAUAUAGUGCACUACUUUAGACUAGAGCCCUAUUCCCUAUAUAGUACACUACUUUAGACUAGAGCCCUAUUCCCUAUAUAGUGCACUACUUUGGACUAGAGCCCUAUUCCCUAUAUAGUGCUCUACAUUAGACCAGAGCCCAAUUCCCUAUAUAGUGCACUACAUUAGACCAGAGCCCAAUUCCCUAUAUAGUGCACCUCUUUAGACCAGGGCCCUAUUCCCUAUAUAGUGCACUACUUUAGACCAGGGCCCUAUUCCCUAUAUAGUGCACUACUUUAGACCAGAGCCCUAUUCCCUAUAUAGUGCACUACUUUAGACCAGAGCCCUAUUCCCUAUAUAGUGCACUACUUUAGACCAGGGCCCUAUUCCCUAUAUAGUGCACUACUUUAGAGCAGAGCACCACAUAGUAAAUAGGGUGCCAUUUGGGACACUACAUGUCAGAGGAGAACUUAUGUUGCCAAAAAUGUUUUCAAAGAAAUGUGCAUGAAUUUAUAUAGCCUUUAAGAGACUAUUAGAAGAGGGAGGGGGGGGUGUCUGUGUGUUUGUAGGUGUGAGAGUGAAUGAGUGUUUGUAGGUGUGUGUUGUUUGUGUGUGUGUGUGGGGGGGGUGUCUGUGUGUUUGUAGGUGUGAGAGUGAAUGAGUGUUUGUAGGUGUGUGUUUGUGUGUGUAGGUGUGUGUGUGUGUGUGACUACCACAGCCCUUGUACAAAUUAACAGUUGUAGAUUUUUCCCCAAACAAAGAGGUGGGAACAUAACGCACCCCGUCUUUGCCCUUCCCCUUCCCAGUGCUCCAACCAAUCUCGUCUCUCCUUGAGAUCUGGAACGUUCACAGACUCCGCCCCCAGACCCCUCCCCUCUACAAACUGUCGGGCGACGGAACACGCUGUUGCCUUCCUUCUACGUUGUCACGGCAACAGAACAAUGAGCUCGGAACUCUAUAGAAUGGAGGUGAUUCUAACCCGGAACUCUCCUACUGUAAACAAUACCUACAUAAUGAGGAUGAUCGUCCAUUGUACAUAGAUCCACCUGUGCUCUGACUUGUCUUGUAUUGCUACUGAAGUUAACCCCAGUUAAACUGUGUAACCAAACCUUUGCCGGUGUA